AGAGUUUGAUCCUGGCUCAGAACGAACGCUGGCGGCAGGCUUAACACAUGCAAGUCGAGCGAGGACUUCGGUCCUAGCGGCGGACGGGUGAGUAACGCGUGGGAACGUGCCCUUUGCUACGGAAUAGUCCUGGGAAACUGGGUUUAAUACCGUAUGUGCCCUUCGGGGGAAAGAAUUUCGGCAAAGGAUCGGCCCGCGUUGGAUUAGGUAGUUGGUGGGGUAAUGGCCUACCAAGCCGACGAUCCAUAGCUGGUUUGAGAGGAUGAUCAGCCACACUGGGACUGAGACACGGCCCAGACUCCUACGGGAGGCAGCAGUGGGGAAUCUUAGACAAUGGGGGCAACCCUGAUCUAGCCAUGCCGCGUGAGCGAUGAAGGCCUUAGGGUUGUAAAGCUCUUUCGCUGGGGAAGAUAAUGACGGUACCCAGUAAAGAAGCCCCGGCUAACUCCGUGCCAGCAGCCGCGGUAAUACGGAGGGGGCUAGCGUUGUUCGGAAUUACUGGGCGUAAAGCGCGCGUAGGCGGAUUGGAAAGUUGGGGGUGAAAUCCCGGGGCUCAACCCCGGAACUGCCUCCAAAACUAUCAGUCUGGAGUUCGAGAGAGGUGAGUGGAAUUGCGAGUGUAGGGGUGAAAUUC
Molecule: ribosomal RNA, 634 nt
Filed under: uncultured bacterium
Lineage: Bacteria
Description: bacterial SSU rRNA
Rfam family: Bacterial small subunit ribosomal RNA
Source: RNAcentral